This 108-nucleotide small nuclear RNA is filed under the name Echinops telfairi (small Madagascar hedgehog). RNAcentral describes it as "U11 spliceosomal RNA (ENSETEG00000023975.1)". It matches the Rfam family "U11 spliceosomal RNA". The record is from RNAcentral. Lineage: Eukaryota; Metazoa; Chordata; Mammalia; Afrosoricida; Tenrecidae.
CAAAAGGGCUUCUGUCUUAAGUGGCACACGCAGGGCAUCGCUGCUGCUCUACGUGCGGAAUCGGCAUCAAGAGAUUUCAGAAGCGUAAUUUUUGUUACCUGGGCCCUA